This 1129-nucleotide long non-coding RNA is filed under the name Anas platyrhynchos platyrhynchos (common mallard). Its description in RNAcentral is "lncRNA (ENSAPLG00000017870.1)". Lineage: Eukaryota; Metazoa; Chordata; Aves; Anseriformes; Anatidae. The record is from RNAcentral.
GUUUAGGAGAGAAAGGGGGGGGCUUCCCCUGUGCUCCCUGGGCUGUGCGGGGCCUGUGGGGGGGAUCGGGAUGCUCAGGGCUGCUCUGAAUGGGUGGGAGGGCACGUGGGGUGCUGGGGUCAUCACGGGGACCCCAUAGCACAGUGUGUGGGGUCUCUCCCUCUGCCAGCCCCCUCCUGCCAGGCUCAGCACCCCCCUUGCCGUGCCAGCCAGGUGCUUGGGGCUGGCCAAGCUUUGUAGGUGCAGCUGCACCCCAACCCAGCCUGGAAGGGGCCGGGGCAGCUCUAGGGCAUCCCCCAUGCUUGGGGCAGUGGGACAGGCACCAGCCCUGUGCCCGCUGCAGGCCCUGCUCCCCGCCUCCCCCCGGCUGUCCCCCGGUUUGGCAGCGGGGAAACUGAGGCACGGAGCCGUGCGUAGCCCCCGAGACCCUGCUCCUGCUCAGCUGGGGGCACCCAGAGCCCGAGCUGGGAGCUGGAGCUGGGCUCUGGGGGCUGGAGCCGAGCCCCGGUCCCGGCAGGUGGCGCCCGGCGCCCGCCGCUGGCGGCUGCUGAGCCCCGAGGGGACGGACCGGGACGGGGCGGGACGGGACGGGGAGGGAUGGGGAGGGAUGGGGAGGUCCGUGUGGGGUUGGCCUGGGCUGUACUGGCUGAUGCCGACCUGUGCUGGACCACUGUGGUCUAUUCUGGGCAGCGCUGAGCGCUGCCGGUCCGUUCCGGGCUGUACCGGGCCACGCAGGACAACGCGGGGCCGCACUUGGGCUGGCCUCACUGGUCCGUGCUGGUCCUGGACAGGGGCGAUGGCUCCCUGUGGGGCCAGGGAUGCAGCCAGGGACGCGUCCCCAGCCCCACGGCUCCUAGCGGUGCUGGCUGGGACCGAUCCUGCAGCCCUGACACCCCUGGGUGCUGAGCAGGGCACUGCCAGCCGCCCCCUGCAUGGGGCUGGGUCCAGUGGGACCGGGACGCUGCGGGGACAGGGGGUGGGGGGGGCGUGCUGGUGGGAGCUGCUCAUCCCAGGCUGUGCGGUGACACCUGUGACAAUGCUGCUGUCGUUCCGUGGUGCUCGUAGCCCUUUCUAGAAGGACUUCGGUGCUGGAGAGGCACAAACUGGGGGAGCUGCAAGUGGAGAGAGC